AAAUUGAAGAGUUUGAUCAUGGCUCAGAUUGAACGCUGGCGGCAGGCCUAACACAUGCAAGUCGAACGGUAACAGGAAGCAGCUUGCUGCUUUGCUGACGAGUGGCGGACGGGUGAGUAAUGUCUGGGAAACUGCCUGAUGGAGGGGGAUAACUACUGGAAACGGUGGCUAAUACCGCAUAACGUCGCAAGACCAAAGAGGGGGACCUUCGGGCCUCUUGCCAUCAGAUGUGCCCAGAUGGGAUUAGCUUGUUGGUGAGGUAACGGCUCACCAAGGCGACGAUCCCUAGCUGGUCUGAGAGGAUGACCAGCCACACUGGAACUGAGACACGGUCCAGACUCCUACGGGAGGCAGCAGUGGGGAAUAUUGCACAAUGGGCGCAAGCCUGAUGCAGCCAUGCCGCGUGUAUGAAGAAGGCCUUCGGGUUGUAAAGUACUUUCAGCGGGGAGGAAGGUGUUGCGGUUAAUAACCGCAGCAAUUGACGUUACC
This 489-nucleotide ribosomal RNA is filed under the name Salmonella enterica. RNAcentral's name for it is "bacterial SSU rRNA". It matches the Rfam family "Bacterial small subunit ribosomal RNA", at positions 1 to 479 of the family's 1533-position model. RNAcentral also lists the same sequence under 1 other name. Lineage: Bacteria; Pseudomonadati; Pseudomonadota; Gammaproteobacteria; Enterobacterales; Enterobacteriaceae. The record is from RNAcentral.